Molecule: long non-coding RNA, 323 nt
Filed under: Carica papaya (papaya)
Lineage: Eukaryota; Viridiplantae; Streptophyta; Magnoliopsida; Brassicales; Caricaceae
Description: long non-coding RNA (CPAP_LNC005779)
Source: RNAcentral
CCGCUUACGCCGGCAAUUCACCUCGGGUUGGCCAUUUUCGGUCGAAUUCAGCCACACUUGCAUCAGUCCCUGCGAUAAAACAACCCUAGGGCCCUAGGUGGGCAAAAAAAUCACGAAAAACUGAAACUUAUCGGCAGCGGUGCUCUCGGGUGCGACGGCUCCUCCAGCGUGAAUCGCGUUUUAAUGUUUGGCUCUGAUCAACCUGUAGAGAAAAGAACGGUGAUCACAGUGGUAUAAGAUUUGUAUCGAACAGAGGCUGGGAAGGGCCUCAUCAGAGGCAAAAAUCUAGGAGGGGCGCGGCAGCGCUGCUGGGCUUCGGCUGG